RNAcentral lists this transfer RNA (74 nucleotides) under Endomicrobium sp. RNAcentral describes it as "tRNA-Arg". It matches the Rfam family "tRNA". Rfam says of the family: Transfer RNA (tRNA) molecules are approximately 80 nucleotides in length. Their secondary structure includes four short double-helical elements and three loops (D, anti-codon, and T loops). Further hydrogen bonds mediate the characteristic L-shaped molecular structure. tRNAs have two regions of fundamental functional importance: the anti-codon, which is responsible for specific mRNA codon recognition, and the 3' end, to which the tRNAs corresponding amino acid is attached (by aminoacyl-tRNA synthetases). tRNAs cope with the degeneracy of the genetic code in two manners: having more than one tRNA (with a specific anti-codon) for a particular amino acid; and 'wobble' base-pairing, i.e. permitting non-standard base-pairing at the 3rd anti-codon position. Lineage: Bacteria; Pseudomonadati; Elusimicrobiota; Endomicrobiia; Endomicrobiales; Endomicrobiaceae. The record is from RNAcentral.
GCGCCCAUAGCUUAAUUGGAUAGAGCAUUUGACUACGAAUCAAAAGGUUAGAGGUUCAAUUCCUCUUGGGCGCG